GCCCACACUGGCUGAGUGGGCUAAAGCGCUCCACUUAUGGAUCACUGCCAUCUCACAUCUGUCUGCAUGGGUUCAAGUCUCAUGUUAGGCC
Non-coding RNA from Potamilus streckersoni, 91 nucleotides. NCBI's taxonomy places the organism in Eukaryota, Metazoa, Mollusca, Bivalvia, Unionida, Unionidae. The record is from the annotation of a GenBank genome assembly.